CGGUGCCUCCGGCGUCCUAGAGCGGCCGCGGGCAGCCGGCGCUGGGCCGGGGUCCUGGGGCUAGUCUCGCGGGUCCUGAGCUCCGCCGCCUGCUUCCGGUCCUGGAAGAUGCCGGCGGUCUUUCGCUCGGGGACGCUGGCCCCGAGUCCUCUCGUCAGGUGGCGACGCCCAGGCGGGGCGGCUCCCUCUGAGGAGUCGGGUUCCGCCUGUUAGGCCCCCGCGGCCUCCGCCUCGAGCCUCCUCCAGCCGCGGAGACGAGCUUGUCUGCGGCGGGCCGGCGGGCGGAGGGCGCGCCUGUGGGCGCCGCGUGGGUAACGAGGCCCCGCGCCCAGGAGGGCCGGCUCCCGGGCCGGGCGCGCUCCGUCUCGUGUCGCCUGACUUCGGGCGGCCUGGUGAGCCUUCCCGAGUUUUCUGAACGUAAACGUGAAGUCGCUCAGUCGUGUCCGACUCUUUGCGACCCCAUGGACUGUAGCCUAUCAGGCUCCUCUGUCCAUGGGAUUUUCCAGGCAAGAGUACUGGAGUGGGUUGCCAUUGCCUUCCCCAAGGGAUCUUCCCAACCCAGGGAUCGAACUCGGGUCUCCCGCAUCGUAGACAAACGCUUUACUGUCUGAGCCGCCAGGGAAGUUUUCUAGACCCCUCAAUACCGGCUUCCAUACGUAGCGGGCUUUGUGAGAAAGAACUGAAAAAAUAGGUGUGGACGUGAGUCAGUGCUGUUUACUUCUUGACCGCUUCCUGUGGGCCUGGUAUUAUUAACCGCUAAACACGGAAACACUUCUUUUCAGUAAAUGCUUGGAGAUUGCGUGCUGUGCGGCAAUCAACACUGCAAGGCGCCUGCAAUGCUGCGAGGUGAGAACACUCACCCCUUGGUGAGGAAAACUGUCAGGGCCCGCCCUUCUGAAGCUUAUUUGAAGAUGAGCGGGUGGUUGGCAUAUGAAAGACGAAGUGUGUUAGUCACUCAGUCGUGUCCGGACUCUUUGCGACCCUGUGGACUGUAGCCCACAAGGCUCUUCUGCCCAUGGAGUGCUCCAGGCAAGAAUACUGGAGUGGGUCGCCAUGCCCUUCUCCAUAUGAAAGAGGAAACGGCAACAGAUUCUAAAUAAUUAAGCCCCAAAACACAUAAUUUUAAUUAUGGCGUUGAGGAUUUAUAGCAGGGAGAUUCCUAUGGGAAGGAGGUGGAGAUGGGGAAGAGACCUGAAAGGUGAGGAAGCAUCAGCCAGAUUCUGCUAGUAUUGCACGCCUAGGGAUGAGUAACUGUGAGGAUUGACGCUGGAAGGAUUUGCAAAGCACCAACAGUGGGCUUUACUCCUGUUUUCUCUUCCUCUUUUAUGUCUUUCCCCUCUCCAUGGUAAAAGGCGAUGAAGCGGGCAGCUGAUUUUGGUCCUGAUCGGUUUUUACUUAUACUAAAGCACCACGCAGUUUCUGUCUCCUGUUGGAUCAAAACAAGAUGUUUUUGAAAAGCCAAAUAAAACAGUAUCCUAUCUCUGUGGUUUCUCAUUGCCUUCAAAUGCCAUCAGCCAACGUGCCCACCUAGUUCUCAGUUAACCCUAUUCAGUUCCAGCUUUUGCUCUGCUGCAUCUUCCACUGUUUUCUUCAGUUGAUGUUGGCUUCUUUUGGAGUCGAGUCUUCAUCUCAAAUUUUUCUAAUCUAAAAGCUGUUCAAAGCAUUACACAUUAUGAAGCAGUUGUGUUCUUAUUGGGACACUGAUUCCUGUUAUCUGAAAUAUUUAACUCUAGAAAAUGUUUAUCCUUUAACCACUGUUUGCUAGCACAAUAGAACAAUACUAUUUUAUAUAGUUGCAAUUAUUGAUAUAGGCACACUUUAUGUGUAAGAAUUCUAUCCAAGUCCAACAUAUAAAUUGUUUACUGUGCCUGGAUUCCUUUUUUCCCCACUCCGGAACUUUUCACCUCGGAGUCCUCCAGCCCAGAGGCCAGCCAAGAGUUCCAGAACCAUUUGAGACUUCCAGGAUGGAGGCUGGCUCACCUCAUCCCACCAUCUACUUUCCUGCCUGACUGGAUGUUGUGUAAAGAGGCAGAUCACUGGCGAAACUCAAAGAGCACCCUACUUCCAGGCCCAUUCCCAACCAGCUCUUCUUAAGUGUAGUCCACUCCUGGCAUCUAUGGGAGCAUCACGGGGUUACUUCUUGUCACUCUUACUCUGAAUUACUGCAACCACUCCAGCCUUCAGCAGCCAACCCCUGAUCAGUUAGCAGCCAUCAGCAUCAAGGAGAGAUCUUCUACCAGAGAAGAUUACAGCUCACUGAAGGCUCAGGUGAUGUUUAGCAUUUUUUAGCCAUAAAAUAUUUUUCAAAUAAGUGGUCAUGUAUGGAUGUGAGAGUUGGACUAUAAAAAAAGCUGAGCACCGAAGAAUUGAUGCUUUUGAACUGUGGUGUUGGAGAAGACUCUUGAGAGUGCCUUGGACUGCAAGGAGAUCCAACCAGUCCAUCCUAAAGGAGAUCAGUCCUGGGUGUUCAUUGGAAGGACUGAUGUUGAAGCUGAAGGAGAAGGGGGACGACAGAGGAUGAGAUGGUUGGAUGGCAUCACCGACUCAAUGGAUGUGAGUUUGAGCAAGCUUCAGGAGUUGGUGAUGGACAGGGAGGCCUGGAGUGCUGUGGUUCACGGGGUCGCAGAGUCAGACACGACUGAGCAACUGAACUGAAGACAUGAUAUAAAAAUUUUAAAUCCUACAUAUAAAGUAGUAAAAAUAGCUGGUCUCAGAUUUUCUUAAUUGUUUUCAAAAAUGAGAAAACAGAACCUGACUACCAUGGACUGGAUAGGAAUGCAGGACUUCAUUUCUUAUCGUACUAUGUCUAUAUUAAUGGAAAAAUAACCUCAGCAUAUAGACUUCUGGAUAUUACAUUUUCAUAAACACAAGCACAAAUAAAGUCACACAGUGCCUGCCAUGAGUGCCUAUUUAUAGAUAACAAAAUUACUGUAUUCCUGUCUUCUGUUAUCUUUCUUCAUUUUCAAUUUUAAGUACAAAUAUUUUUGUUGCUGUGUUUUAAUCCAUACAUUCUCUUUGAAUUAACCGUCUUCCUCUAUCUUUAGCAGCAUCUCUCUCUCUCUUCCAAGGAUUUCCAAAUGUUUAUUAAAUUCUGCACACUCCACUCUGUCAUUAAGACAGUGGUUGCUAGGAGAACUGCUCGCUGACUUGUAACCCAACUGGAAUUGCACAACGCCACUUUCUG
Molecule: long non-coding RNA, 3184 nt
Organism: Bos taurus (domestic cattle)
Lineage: Eukaryota; Metazoa; Chordata; Mammalia; Artiodactyla; Bovidae
Source: Ensembl